This is a long non-coding RNA of Acanthopagrus latus (yellowfin seabream), 827 nucleotides long. RefSeq lists it as uncharacterized. The transcript is spliced from 2 exons. NCBI's taxonomy places the organism in Eukaryota, Metazoa, Chordata, Actinopteri, Spariformes, Sparidae. The record is from RefSeq and is a predicted model, not a curated record.
GGAGGACUGAGUGCACUUUCUUACAGUUGUUAGUGUUUCCCUGGACAACUCCGAGGGAGGAGUCUGCACGAGGGCUAUUAUCAGCCCCUCCAUGGCACUUCCUCUCGGAGUUCACCAACACACUACAAGAGGUCAGUAAAGCAUCAAGUCAAUUUGUUGGGCUGAGUCAAACUGUAACCAACUGUCGUCAUUAAAGUGUGAGUCAUAGGUUCACACUUUAAUGCAUCUGGAGGGAUUGUCUGAUUGUGCAAACCUCAGGUGUUUGUAACCUCUCUGGUGAGGUGUCACUGCUGUCUCUUCGUGACUGCAAACACAGUGCCAGUUACCAUUGAAGGAGCAGGAAAAAACAACUGUUGUGGUUUGAACUGCCCUCUGCUGGUUCAAAGGGCCUUCUGCAGAGAUCUCUCAAAGCAGGGACACACGCUGUACAGAUCCAGGGAUGUGGUUUGGAGUAAAGGCAGCAGAACUCUCUUGAGGCACAGAUUUUAACUGGUGGCCCAGUAGUGCUGAACUGAAAACACUUUUGCUCUAAAAAGCUCUGAUUGUGGGUGUUUACCUUGAAGGAAUCCCUAAGUGACGGCUAUAGUUUACUCUCCUUUCUAUUUAUCACACAGACCCAUAAAAUAUUGAAAAAGCAGACUUGAGUAGAGAACUGUACCUCACAACAGCAGCAUCUGUGCUUGACUAAAAUGUUUUUCUUAUAUUCAGAAGUGAUUCCCUGCCUUCGAUAAGCACUAUUAAGCAUUCAAAUGCUUCUAUUCCUCAGCAGCAGUCAUGUGAAAUGUGUUUUAUUCUGCGUGGAUAGAAAAUAAAUUGUACAAAGAGUA